AAUGAACGCUGGCGGCAGGCCUAACACAUGCAAGUCGAACGGAUCCUUCGGGAUUAGUGGCGGACGGGUGAGUAACGCGUGGGAACAUACCCAAAGGUACGGAAUAGCCUCGGGAAACUGGGAGUAAUACCGUAUGUGCUCGAAAGAGGAAAGAUUUAUCGCCUUUGGAUUGGCCCGCGUUGGAUUAGGUAGUUGGUGGGGUAAUGGCCUACCAAGCCGACGAUCCAUAGCUGGUUUGAGAGGAUGAGCAGCCACACUGGGACUGAGACACGGCCCAGAAUCCUACGGGAGGCAGCAGUGGGGAAUCUUAGACAAUGGGGGAAACCCUGAUCUAGCCAUGCCGCGUGAUCGAUGAAGGCCUUAGGGUUGUAAAGAUCUUUCAGGUGGGAAGAUAAUGACUGUACCACCAGAAGAAGCCCCGGCUAACUCCGUGCCAGCCGCCGCAGUAA
RNAcentral lists this ribosomal RNA (449 nucleotides) under uncultured bacterium. Its description in RNAcentral is "partial 16S ribosomal RNA". It matches the Rfam family "Bacterial small subunit ribosomal RNA", at positions 29 to 523 of the family's 1533-position model. The record is from RNAcentral.